UUCAAGGAAUUAAGGGUUUAUGGGGGAUACCUUGGUAUUCAGAGGCGAUGAAGGACGUGGUUACCUGCGAAAAGCUUCGAGGAGCAGGAAAACAUGCUAUAAUUCGAAGAUCUCCGAAUAAGGAAACUUAUAUACUGCUUAUUUUAAUAAAUUAAGUAAGAGCAAACCUAAAGAACUGAAACAUCUUAGUAUUUAGAGGAAAAGAAAGUAAAAAACGAUUUCCUUAGUAGUGGCGAACGAAAUGGAAAAAGCCUAAAUAUAAUUAUAAAAACAAUAUAAGUAGUGGGAAAUAUCAUGUUAAGAUUAAAAUAAUUAGAUGAAUAAAUUGGAAUAUUUAAUCAAAGAAAGUGAAAAUCUUGUAAUCGAAAGUUAAAAAGAAUCUAGUAAAAUCCCAAGUAAUAUAAGGCACGUGAAAUCUUGUAUGAAUCUGCGAGGACCAUCUCGUAAGGCUAAAAUAUUACUGAAUAACCGAUAGUGAAUAAGUACCGUGAGGGAAAGGUGAAAAGAAUUCCGGGAGGAAAGUGAAAAGAACAUGAAACCAUAAACCUACAAUCAGUAGAAGAACGACUAUUAUAAACGUUUAACUAUGUGCCUGUUGAAGAAUGAGCCGACGACUUAUAAUUAGUGGCAGGUUAAGAUAAUCGGAGCCAUAGCGAAAGCGAGUUUAAAUAAAGCGUUUGUCACUAAUUAUAGACCCGAAACCGGAUGAUCUAACCAUGAUCAGGUUGAAUUUUAGAUAAUACUAAUAGGAGGACCGAACCGACUGAUGCUGAAAAAUCAGCGGAUGAAUUGUGGUUAGAGGUGAAAUGCCAAUCGAAUUCGGAGCUAGCUGGUUCUCCCCGAAAUGCGUUUUGGCGCAGCAAUAAUUGUUAUAAUUUAGAGGUAAAGCACUGUUAUUUAUAAAGGCUGGUAAUUCGGUACUGAAUUUUGGCAAACUAAGAAUACUAAAUAAAAAAAUUAUUAGUGAGACUAUGGGGGAUAAGCUCCAUAGUCAAAAGGGAAACAGCCCAGAACACCAGUUAAGGCCCUUAAAUGAUUGCUAAGUGAAAAAGGAAGUAAAUUUACAAAAACAAUUAGGAGGUUGGCUUAGAAGCAGCAAUCCUUUAAAGAAUGCGUAAUAGCUCACUAAUCUAGUAGAAUUGCACCGAAAAUGUAUGGGACUAAGUAAUCUGCCGAAACUGUGUGAUAUAUUUAUAUAUAUAUCGGUAGGGGAGCGUUCUGUUGUAGAGUGAAGUAUUAAUGAAAAUGGAUAUGGACGAAUCAGAAGUGAGAAUGUCGGCUUGAGUAACGAAAAUAUAGGUGAGAAUCCUAUACCCCGAAAACCUAAGGUUUCCUUACGGAAGGUUCGUCCACGAAGGGUAAGUCAGAACCUAAGAUGAGGCUAUAAAGCGUAGUCGAUGGAAAACAGGUUAAUAUUCCUGUACCUUUAUUUUAUUAUGACAAUAUUAAGGGACGAAGUGAGUUAAAACUAGCCAAAAUAUGGAUUUGUUGGUUUAAAUGAUUAAAGUGUUGAGAAAUGGAGAAAACAUUUUGAGCUAAAACAUGAUAAUUUUAAUUUUAUGAAAUUAAAAAUAGUAUUUAAUUGAACUUUCAAGAAAAGCUUAAUUUGUUAACAAGUUUCGCAAUAGAAUAAUGUCUGUACCAUAACCGACACAGGUAGGUAGGUAGAAUAUACUAAGGGGCGCGAGAUAACUCUCUCUAAGGAACUCGGCAAAAUAACUCUGUAACUUCGGAAGAAAGAGUGCCUUAUUUAUAAAGGUUGCAAUAUCAAGAUCCAAACAACUGUUUAUCAAAAACAUAGGUUUUCGCUAAGUUGUAAAACGAUGUAUGAAGGCUGACGCCUGCCCAGUGCUAGAAGGUUAAAGAAAUUGAUUAAUAAAAUAAUAAAAGUUAAUAACUGAAGCCCUAGUGAACGGCGGCCGUAACUAUAACGGUCCUAAGGUAGCGAAAUUCCUUGUCGGGUAAGUUCCGACCUGCACGAAAGGCGUAAUGAUUUGGGUACUGUCUCAGAGAGGGACUCGGUGAAAUAGAAUUGUCUGUGAAGAUGCGGACUACCUGCACCAGGACAGAAAGACCCUAUGAAGCUUUACUGUAGUUUGAAAUUGAAAUUGAGCUUUAUUUGUGCAGUAUAGGUGGGAGAUAUAUAAUAUAAUUAUCGUUAAUGAGAUACCACUCUGAUAUAGUUAAAUUUCUUAUUUUAUUUUAAUCAAAAUAAAAAACAGUUUCAAAUAGUCAGUUUGACUGGGGCGGUCGCCUCCCAAAUAGUAACGGAGGCGUACAAAGGUUUUCUCUGAACGUGUAGAAAUCGUAUCUAGAGUGUAAAGGCAUAAGAAAGCUUGACUGUGAGACAGACAAGUCAAACAGGGACGAAAGUCGGUCUUAGUGAUCUGACAGUACUGAAUGGAAAGGCUGUCACUCAACGGAUAAAAGUUACUCUAGGGAUAACAGGCUGAUCUCCCCCAAGAGUUCACAUCGACGGGGAGGUUUGGCACCUCGAUGUCGGCUCAUCGCAUCCUGGAGCGGUAGCACGUUCCAAGGGUUGGGCUGUUCGCCCAUAAAAGCGGUACGCGAGCUGGGUUCAGAACGUCGUGAGACAGUUCGGUCCGUAUCCGGUGUAGGCGUUAGAAUAUUGAAAAGAACUUUUCUUAGUACGAGAGGACCAGAAAGGACAUACCUAUGGUGUACCAGUUAUUGUUCCAACAGUAAACGCUGGGUAGCUACGUAUGUAGAGGAUAACCACUGAAAGCAUCUAAGUGGGAAGCCCACUUUAAGAUAAAUAUUCUUAUCAUAUAAAAAUGAUUAAGAUCACGGUAAGACUAACCGUUUAAUAGGCAUUAUGUGUAAGUGUAGUAAUAUAUUGAGCAAAGAUGUACUAAUAGAUCG
RNAcentral lists this ribosomal RNA (2883 nucleotides) under Nitzschia sp. PL3-2. Its description in RNAcentral is "bacterial LSU rRNA". It matches the Rfam family "Bacterial large subunit ribosomal RNA". The record is from RNAcentral. Lineage: Eukaryota; Bacillariophyta; Bacillariophyceae; Bacillariales; Bacillariaceae.